This 218-nucleotide ribosomal RNA is filed under the name Campeiostachys nutans. RNAcentral's name for it is "Elymus nutans partial small subunit ribosomal RNA". The stretch from base 47 to 218 matches the Rfam family "Eukaryotic small subunit ribosomal RNA", at positions 692 to 864 of the family's 1831-position model. Lineage: Eukaryota; Viridiplantae; Streptophyta; Magnoliopsida; Poales; Poaceae. The record is from RNAcentral.
AGGUUUACUCAUUGGUCAGGCUUAAUUGUCUGUACUGGUGAGAUGGAUCUCUACCUUCUGAGGAACUUUCAUGCCAUUUAUUUGGUGUGAUGGGAAAUCAGGACUGUUACUUUGAAAAAAUUAGAGUGUUUAAAGCAGGCUAACGUCUGAAUACAUUAGCAUGGAAUAAUGAAAUAGGACGGACUGAUUCUAUUUCGUUGGUUUCUAGGAUCACCCUA